AGAGUUUGAUUCUGGCUCAGAACGAACGCUGGCGGCGUGGAUAAGACAUGCAAGUCGAACGAGAGAAUUGCUAGCUUGCUAAUAAUUCUCUAGUGGCGCACGGGUGAGUAACACGUGAGUAACCUGCCCCCAAGAGUGGGAUAGCCCCGGGAAACUGGGAUUAAUACCGCAUAAAAUCGCAAGAUUAAAGCAGCAAUGCGCUUGGGGAUGGGCUCGCGUCCUAUUAGUUAGUUGGUGAGGUAACGGCUCACCAAGGCGAUGACGGGUAGCCGGUCUGAGAGGAUGUCCGGCCACACUGGAACUGAGACACGGUCCAGACACCUACGGGUGGCAGCAGUCGAGAAUCAUUCACAAUGGGGGAAACCCUGAUGGUGCGACGCCGCGUGGGGGAAUGAAGGUCUUCGGAUUGUAAACCCCUGUCAUGUGGGAGCAAAUUAAAAAGAUAGUACCACAAGAGGAAGAGACGGCUAACUCUGUGCCAGCAGCCGCGGUAAUACAGAGGUCUCAAGCGUUGUUCGGAAUCACUGGGCGUAAAGCGUGCGUAGGCGGUUUCGUAAGUCGUGUGUGAAAGGCGGGGGCUCAACCCCCGGACUGCACAUGAUACUGCGAGACUAGAGUAAUGGAGGGGGAACCGGAAUUCUCGGUGUAGCAGUGAAAUGCGUAGAUAUCGAGAGGAACACUCGUGGCGAAGGCGGGUUCCUGGACAUUAACUGACGCUGAGGCACGAAGGCCAGGGGAGCGAAAGGGAUUAGAUACCCCUGUAGUCCUGGCAGUAAACGGUGCACGCUUGGUGUGCGGGGAAUCGACCCCCUGCGUGCCGGAGCUAACGCGUUAAGCGUGCCGCCUGGGGAGUACGGUCGCAAGAUUAAAA
Molecule: ribosomal RNA, 871 nt
Filed under: human gut metagenome
Description: bacterial SSU rRNA
Rfam family: Bacterial small subunit ribosomal RNA
Source: RNAcentral